Molecule: long non-coding RNA, 1501 nt
Filed under: Corvus moneduloides (New Caledonian crow)
Lineage: Eukaryota; Metazoa; Chordata; Aves; Passeriformes; Corvidae
Description: lncRNA (ENSCMUG00000017742.1)
Source: RNAcentral
AUGACAGAGCGGAUCCCGUACCAGAGGCACGUUGGCUCUGGGGAAAGGCAGCCGAUACGCGCGACGGGAGCCUACCUUGCACAGACGGGCUCACGGCCUCCGAAGCCCGGAGAAGGGCUGCUCCGUCGGGCACAGAGAGCGGGAUACCCGGAGCUGCUCCGUCGGGCACAGAGAGCGGGAUACCCGCAGCUGCUCCGGCGGGCACGGAGAGCGGGAUACCCGGAGCUGCUCCGUCGGGCACGGAGAGCGGGAUACCCGGAGCUGCUCCGUCGGGCACAGGGAGCGGGAUACCCGGAGCUGCUCCGUCGGGCACAGGGAGCGGGAUACCCGCAGCCGCUCCGGCGGGCACAGGGCGCGGGGUCCCGCUCGCUCGGGCUCUCACACGUGCCAGCGCGCGUCUCCUCCACUCGCAGAGUUUGUCAUGAAUGUCCCCAGCUGGGUCCCAGUGAGCGCAAAGACCUCGGAGCCGUCAGCCCACGGCCCCGCGCUCCCCUCGCAACUUCUCCUUCCCCUCGCUGUCCGCUGGGAAGUUCGGCAGAGCCGCGGGCGCCGGAGCGGGCUCCACUCUCUGCGAAAACUCGCCUGCCCCACCUAGAGGAGCCCCGCAGGAUGAGGAGGAGUCCCGCAUCCGUGCCCGCUACCGACGAGCUCGGAGCUGGCUGGUGAACAGGAGAAGGUUUUAUCUGGUUUGGCUGGGAGAAGGGGAGCCAGAGUCUGGGAUGCGGAGCAGGGGAAUGCUUCUGGGGAGCUCCUGAGAGCAGAAGAAAUGAGAGAGAAGUUUGAUGAGUGAACUGGUUCAGUUUAGCGAAUGUUGUUAAGGCAAAAUGAAACUAUUCUGAGAAAUACCUGAUGUCCAGACAAUUUGGGGUGGCUCAUCUGAAGCCCACCUCACUUUCCUACUUUUCAAUUGCAGUUUUGGGGACUCUCUGGACUUCCCACAGGAUUCUUACCAGGAAGGGACAGCAUGGGCGACAUCAAGAAUUACUGCUUCCCCAGGAGCACACACAGCUCUCUGCUGCUUCUAGAAAAUUCUGAAGAAUAACCUAGAUGGUUUUCAAAUUGAGAAUGUCAUAGCUACCUUUCUGAACUACCGAUUCUUUUCUUCCCAAGCAAAAUAGAAAUAUUCUUAUACAGUUCUGCUUUCUAAGGGUUGAAAAUUCUGGUUGUCAGCUAGCUCUGCACAAGGGAGUUGCCAGUAUUUUGCAAAGAGAGUGUUCCUUAAAACUGGAAAAUGGGAAAUAACACUGAAGUGAAAAUAAAUGAAAUGCAAAACACCCAGCACAUGUGCAAAUGGCUUUAGUGCAGUUAAAGCAGUUAACUCAGAGGUCAUAAAGGAGAAACAUAUCAACACUACACCUCCUUUUUUGAGCAUCCAAUACCCAGUAUGAAAAACUGACAGUGCUUGAUCAGUGGAAAAUAUUUCUCAAAGAAGACCUUUCAGCCUUGUUGGAUACAAGAUUCUUAAGUGUGUAUUCUGGUGUGUGUUGUUGUUGUAACUCCA